RNAcentral lists this long non-coding RNA (795 nucleotides) under Populus tremula. RNAcentral describes it as "long non-coding RNA (PTRE_LNC001967)". Lineage: Eukaryota; Viridiplantae; Streptophyta; Magnoliopsida; Malpighiales; Salicaceae. The record is from RNAcentral.
GUUCGGUCCGGUUUUGGACCAAAAUAAACAACCAAACCGAUUUUAUUUUUUUUUAGUUUUGGAACCGAACCGAACCGAAAACCGGUUCAAACCGAUUAAUUUCGGUUCGGUUCGGUUCGGUUUUUUCCCCUUCCAAACCGGCUCAAACCGAAACAGUGCCAAAAAUUCUUGUUCAUUUGUCCAAGGAAAACUUCGAGCCUGGCUCUAGUUCCUGGCUGGCGGAAAUGAAAGAUUCUGGUAAGAUCUGCAUAUUAUUAUAUUAUGAUUAAAUAUUUCUCUUUUUCCUUUUCCUUUGGGAAAGAGUUGCUCUUUCUGUUUUAGGUGCAACCAGUGACGGGCCUUAGCAAUAAGAUUAGGAAUGAAUUGCACCACCUAUCCAUCAUCGUCCCAGUUUUGUUACUCAAGAUCACGAUUGUCGGGGCACCCUUCUUUAAGACCCAGGAGCGGACCAAAAACAACCUAUCUUGCUGCUCCGAGUGCCUACCCCAUAGCUGAUUUCUUUUUUUUAUGCUGAUAUUUUUUGGGAGAGACAAACCGAUCAUCUGAAUCCUUGCAUAUAGCUGUAUCCUCUAUGCUAACAUUAAUGUGAGAGAUGAGAGAUGAGAGGCGAGAGGCGAGAGAUGAGAGAAGAAGGCUGAUUUGAGAGACAAGAGAGUAGGUACAAGGGGCGGCUGAGAAAGUGAGAAUGGUGAGAUAAGUUUAGGGUUAGAAAAGAUGUUAUUUAUACUUGUUUUUUUCAAGAGAUAGUAGUUGAACCGGGCCGGUUCGGUUCGGUUCAAUCGGUUUCAAACUUUG